This 45-nucleotide non-coding RNA is filed under the name Schistosoma curassoni. Lineage: Eukaryota; Metazoa; Platyhelminthes; Trematoda; Strigeidida; Schistosomatidae. The record is from RNAcentral.
AUCCAACUGACGAGUCCGAAAUGGGACGAAACGCGCGUCCUGGAU